UUCGGGGGUACACGAGUGGCGAACGGGUGAGUAACACGUGGGUGACCUGCCCUGUACUUCGGGAUAAGCCUGGGAAACUGGGUCUAAUACCGGAUAUGACCUUCUCCUGCAUGGGGGUUGGUGGAAAGCUUUUGCGGUACAGGAUGGGCCCGCGGCCUAUCAGCUUGUUGGUGGGGUAAUGGCCUACCAAGGCGACGACGGGUAGCCGGCCUGAGAGGGCGACCGGCCACACUGGGACUGAGACACGGCCCAGACUCCUACGGGAGGCAGCAGUGGGGAAUAUUGCACAAUGGGCGAAAGCCUGAUGCAGCGACGCCGCGUGAGGGAUGACGGCCUUCGGGUUGUAAACCUCUUUCAGUAGGGACGAAGCGCAAGUGACGGUACCUACAGAAGAAGCACCGGCCAACUACGUGCCAGCAGCCGCGGUAAUACGUAGGGUGCGAGCGUUGUCCGGAUUUACUGGGCGUAAAGAGCUCGUAGGCGGUUUGUCACGUCGUCUGUGAAAACCCGAGGCUUAACCUCGGGCCUGCAGGCGAUACGGGCAGACUUG
Molecule: ribosomal RNA, 550 nt
Filed under: Tsukamurella sp. SCAU9011
Lineage: Bacteria; Bacillati; Actinomycetota; Actinomycetes; Mycobacteriales; Tsukamurellaceae
Description: bacterial SSU rRNA
Rfam family: Bacterial small subunit ribosomal RNA
Source: RNAcentral